RNAcentral lists this ribosomal RNA (389 nucleotides) under uncultured bacterium. RNAcentral describes it as "bacterial SSU rRNA". It matches the Rfam family "Bacterial small subunit ribosomal RNA", at positions 28 to 419 of the family's 1533-position model. The record is from RNAcentral.
GACGAACGCUGGCGGCGUGCUUAACACAUGCAAGUCGAGCGGUAAGGCCCUUUCGGGGGUACACGAGCGGCGAACGGGUGAGUAACACGUGGGUGACCUGCCCUUAGCUCUGGGAUAAGCCUGGGAAACUGGGUCUAAUACCGGAUAUGACUCCAUGACGCAUGUUGUGGGGUGGAAAGCCUUGUGCGGCUAGGGAUGGGCCCGCGGCCUAUCAGCUUGUUGGUGGGGUGAUGGCCUACCAAGGCGACGACGGGUAGCCGGCCUGAGAGGGCGACCGGCCACACUGGGACUGAGACACGGCCCAGACUCCUACGGGAGGCAGCAGUGGGGAAUCUUGCGCAAUGGGCGAAAGCCUGACGCAGCGACGCCGCGUGGGGAUGACGGCCUCG